ACCAAGAUAUGGUCCACACAGGCCUGGAUUGCCAACGAAAGAUGUGGCAUUGAAGUAGGUGAACUGCCCAGUCCCCGGCACAAGCCCAGACAAGUUGUUAUACGAGAAGUCGACUGCUGUCAAGCUCUGCAUUGUCGCGAUGGAUGGAGGUAUCUCUCCAUCAAGGUGGUUCCGGGAUAGGUUGAGGUAGUUCAGUAUCCACAUUCCAGAGAUGGCCGGAGGUAUCUUCCCAGAGAGGUUGUUUUGGCUCAUGUCCAAGUAAGUGAGAAGCCGGCAUUUCCCAAUCUCUGGUGGCACACCUCCCUCAAACUUGUUGCUGCUAAGGUCAGCCUUGGAGAGCUGCUGCAGCCGCCCAAUCUCCGGAGGCACG
RNAcentral lists this long non-coding RNA (370 nucleotides) under Setaria italica (foxtail millet). RNAcentral describes it as "long non-coding RNA (SITA_LNC006448)". Lineage: Eukaryota; Viridiplantae; Streptophyta; Magnoliopsida; Poales; Poaceae. The record is from RNAcentral.